RNAcentral lists this ribosomal RNA (253 nucleotides) under uncultured bacterium. RNAcentral describes it as "partial 16S ribosomal RNA". It matches the Rfam family "Bacterial small subunit ribosomal RNA", at positions 524 to 776 of the family's 1533-position model. The record is from RNAcentral.
UACAUGGGGUGCAAACGUUGCUCGGCAUUAUUGGGCGUCAAGCGCACGUAGGCGGUUUGUUAAGUCGGAUGUGAAAUCCCUCGGCUCAACUGAGGAAGUGCAUCCGAAACUGGCAAGCUUGAGUACGAGAGAGGGUCGCGGAAUUCCCGGUGUAGAGGUGAAAUGCGUAGAUAUCGGGAGGAACACCGGUGGCGAAGGCGGCGACCUGGGUCGAUACUGACGCUGAGGUGCGAAAGCGUGGGGAGCAAACAGG